AACUUCUUCCUUUUGUUCUUGUGCAGUGUUAAUCCAUUUAGACUUAUUGGAGUGGGACUGACAGUCUGGACCUUUGCUACUGCUGGUUGUGGCCUGUCAAUUGAUUUCUGGUCCAUUACCAUAUGCAGAAUGCUGGUCGGUGUUGGUGAGGCAUCUUUCAUAAGCCUUGCUGCUCCAUUCAUUGAUGACAAUGCCCCAGUUGAUCAG
This is a long non-coding RNA of Nicotiana attenuata, 207 nucleotides long. RefSeq lists it as uncharacterized. The record is from RefSeq and is a predicted model, not a curated record. NCBI's taxonomy places the organism in Eukaryota, Viridiplantae, Streptophyta, Magnoliopsida, Solanales, Solanaceae. The transcript has 2 exons.